RNAcentral lists this long non-coding RNA (795 nucleotides) under Mus spicilegus (steppe mouse). RNAcentral's name for it is "lncRNA (ENSMSIG00000025631.1)". Lineage: Eukaryota; Metazoa; Chordata; Mammalia; Rodentia; Muridae. The record is from RNAcentral.
AAGCAUCAUGUGUAAGACAGCAAGAGCCUGCAGCAGCUUGAAGCUCCAUCUGGCUAAUGGAGAACACACUCUUGGGGUACGUAUUGGUUCCUAACUCUCGUCUUCCCUGGUCCGACAGCUGGGGUGAGAUGCUUUGCUCAGCCUGCUGAGCCACCAGCAAUCUGGAAGAUUUCUCUCUGACCUGAGAAGGCUGGAUUUCCUACUGAGAGUCUGCAAAGUGACCCAUUGUGAUGGAGCCACAUCCACCAGCAACGAAUGACUGUCCAUUCAUGGCUGAGUCAAAGGUCUGCUGGUAAACCCUUUCCUUCUAAGAAACCCCCAUUAUCAGGAGGACACUCUAUGAGGAUUGGACUUGUGACUCCAGGAGCAGUUUCCCCUCGGGUUCACUUAAGCAAAAGGCUACAAAAAAUACGAACCACGGUACUCCCGUUCAUGCACGGCUUGAUGGUUUUCCUGAAGAUGUGCUAUCCUUCUGUCUCUGCCCUUUUCUCUCCUCUCUUCCCCUUCAAAUGACGAAGACCCAUUCAGUCUGCCUCCAAGCUUUCUCAUUUCAACUGUCCUAUUUAUACCCCUGAGCCAAUUGGAAUGGAAGAAAGGGUGGAGGUUAUUUUUUUCCACCUGUUCCAGGAACAUGUGUUCGAAGAAUGAAUUUUUCCCCUCAUUAAAUCACCAUGGCAAUUUUCCAGGAAUUUCUUAUUUUAAUAUCAACUAAGGAAGUGCAUGGUUUCUAUCUGAAGGUAAUGAAUUCAAUAAGGUUUUCAAAUACUUUUAAUUUUAUUAUUUAAAAUUGCCUAU